CAACUACUCCCUCUUUCCCAAAUUUAUUGUCUUAGAUUUGUCUAGAUACGGAUGUAUCUAAUACUAAAAUGUGACUUGAUACAUCCGUAUCUAGACAAAUCUAAGACAAGAAUUUUGGGACGGAGGGAGUACUUU
Molecule: non-coding RNA, 135 nt
Organism: Triticum aestivum (bread wheat)
Lineage: Eukaryota; Viridiplantae; Streptophyta; Magnoliopsida; Poales; Poaceae
Source: Rfam